UAUUUUAGUUUCAGUACAAAAGGAAGUGGC
RNAcentral lists this non-coding RNA (30 nucleotides) under Rattus norvegicus (Norway rat). The record is from RNAcentral. Lineage: Eukaryota; Metazoa; Chordata; Mammalia; Rodentia; Muridae.